AAUCAACGCUGGCGGCGUGCCUCAGACAUGCAAGCCGAACGCGAAAUUUCCCUUCGGGGAGAAAGUAGAGUGGCGCACGGGUGAGUAACACGUAGGUAAUUUGCCUUUGGGUGGGGAAUAACUCAGGGAAACUUGAGCUAAUACCGCAUAAUGCAGCGGCUCGACAUCGAGACAGUUGUUAAAGCGGGGGAUUGGAGCAAUCCGACCUCGCGCCUAAAGAGAAGCCUGCGGCAGAUUAGCUAGUUGGUAAGGUAAUGGCUUACCAAGGCGACGAUCUGUAACCGGCCUGAGAGGGCGGUCGGUCACACUGACACUGACAUACGGGUCAGACUCCUACGGGAGCAGCAGUCGGGAAUUUUGGGCAAUGGGCGCAAGCCUGACCCAGCAACGCCGCGUGAAGGAUG
RNAcentral lists this ribosomal RNA (404 nucleotides) under uncultured bacterium. Its description in RNAcentral is "bacterial SSU rRNA". It matches the Rfam family "Bacterial small subunit ribosomal RNA", at positions 32 to 410 of the family's 1533-position model. The record is from RNAcentral.